RNA transcript from Xiphophorus hellerii (green swordtail), 4926 nucleotides. RefSeq lists it as uncharacterized. Lineage: Eukaryota; Metazoa; Chordata; Actinopteri; Cyprinodontiformes; Poeciliidae. The record is from RefSeq and is a predicted model, not a curated record. The transcript has 5 exons.
UGUCACUCAUAAACAGUCUCCUGCUAAUCUCCAAACAACAGUGACUGCGACAGCUAUGACCAGAGUACAAACUACAACCUUUGCUACAAGAAAAGUUAGCUUGAAGGUCUUUGACUUUGACGUCUCUCAGUCGGCAUUAACUGGGCUGUGUAUGUCUUUCAAUAAGAAACAGAAAGAAGCCCAAUCAAAAAUCACUGAGGGGAGGAAUUCUGAAGGCAACAGGCCUGAUGGCAAAUUAAUAGACUUACACAACAUUCACAAUCUGACACUUGGAGAUGAGCAGGAAAGCGUUUUGAGUGGAGUUACUAAAAGCAAGGACAAAGACACACUUCAGUCCAACAGCAACCACAGCAGAGAAAUUACAAAAAUGUUUCUCAAAGAUGAUGAAAUCCUGGAAAACAAAAGGGAGGAAUUAUUAAGAUUAGAUGAUCCUGAAAUUGAAAAACGAGCAGCAGAGAUAAACCAAAGCACAUACAGAGAGGCUGGAGAAAUGAAAUAGUUCAUCACCAAGACAAGCAGAGAAGAGCAUGUACUUCUGAGACAUGACAAAAAUACACAACAUGGUGAAGUCAAGGAUGAGAGAGGCGCCAAAAGAGAAGGUGUAACUAAAAUAAAUAUGCAGAAUUCAACCCUGGAUACUUCUGGAAAGCAGAGACAAUUUUUGGAGGAAAAAGGAGAAAAGGCUGGAAGUGGGGAGGACAGAAAAUUUAACAAGGAUAUUGGGAAGGAGGAUGUGACAAAUGUUCCCCCUGAACCGGCAACAAAUUGGAAAGAACUUAACGGAGACAAAGAGAGCAUUGUUGAAAAGCUGUCUUCCUAUCAUGGUUUGAUUAAAGAGUUGGACGGCUCUGAGCACAAGGGUAUUCAUCUGGGUGAAAAUGCUUCACAAAUAAGAGACCUAACAAAUAAGUCAUUUUCUUUUUAGGUGACAAGCAAUUUCCAGCUGCCACACCCAUCUGUAAGAUCCCAGGCACCAGAUCUAAGGGAAGAGUAGCUUCCAAAAGAAGACAUUAUGUUACCACUGAAGGAAACAAGUUCUCAAGAGUUUGAGGUUAAAUUUCCUGCUGCUGCAGUGUCAAAAAUAUCUGGAUUUAUUUCUAUGUUUACGCCACUUAUUUCCCCAAGCAGGAGUGCUGCUAACACAGCUAAACAGCCUUCACUCACAACCCGAUUUCAGAGAGCCAAGUCCCACUUUAUUGUGAGCAGUUCUCUCAAUAUAUCAAUUAUUCAGAGCAACACAGAUCAUAAGCAUAAAUUGAACUAUUCUGUUCUGAGGGCCGAACCAGUUUUACAUACAGCGAAUGAGCAAGGGCAUGCAGAAUAUGCUACGCCAUCCAUACACCAGCAGAGGUAUGAUGAUUCAUCUACAAAGAUACCCACAGUCACAGUCUUGUCAUUUAAACCCCGCAUCUCUGUGGGCCCAUUUCAGCCUCACCGAGGGCAGUCUGCUACUCAGAGGAGUCACUCCUCCUCCUCAUGCCCUAACAUAACUCCAGGCCAGACAUGUCUCUCCAGGGUGUCAGAGCAGGCAUCGCAUCCAGACACUUUACAUACUCCUGCUGUGGAAAACAAGCAAAGAUUUCCACAGGCACGGACGUCGUCAGUGAUCCCUGCAACAGGAAUCAAUCGUUUUUCUCCCGAAAGCAUGUCACCGAUGAUGAAACUGAGGACGUUAAGUGGUGACAGGUUGACUGUAACCUACAGAUUGCAGAAGCUAACUAGUUCACAGCUGGCCCACUUUGUCCCUGGAUCCAAAAGCAGAGAGUCCUUGUUAGCGGCCACUGGUGAGACAAGUCAAAGAAAAAAGAAAGGGAAUGUUAUGUUCAUGAUGACCUCUGUUGUGAAACAUUCAAAUGGAGUCACAGGGGAUCAACAUACGACUGUCAGGAGUAAACAUGUUGCUAAUGACACUGAUGAAUUCAACUCCACUUCCCUUCAGACUAAGAAUGAGACUAAACAGAAUGACCUUUCUACUGCUGGUGGCAAAGAUGAAGCAAACAAUAUAAUUAUGACUGCAAAGCAUCAUCAUCGCUUUGAGUUAGAAAAAGCCAUGCCUUACACUGUAAUGGCUACAAAUGGGAAAUUUGGGCGCGACACAAAUUAUGCUGACACAAUUGAUCGAGUUGGCACCGCCACGAUUUUCCAGACAGAUAAUCUUCCCGAAAGGCCUAAAAUACAAUCUGAUGAUGAGCCUAACUCAUUGUUUGAUGUUGAGCAUCGCUUGGCAAAGACGAAUAUAAGGCACGACAGCCAGUCUCUGUCACAGCAGAGUGAGAGUAACAAGUCAGACAUGAUUACAAAUAUGAAUUCAAGCACUGACCGUGCAAUCCGCAAAAUAACACACCAGACUUUUGACCAAGCAAGACACAUUAUUUCUCAAUUUCAUAUAAACGCAAAUAAAACCGCUGACUUUGUCUCUCUCACAGAGACUCCCGCUGAGUUCAGAGGUUUUAAAUCUCUGCUGGCCGCGAGUGGGACUCUGCCAGACAGUAAGAAGUCAACUCAGAAGGCAGCUGAGCACAGAUCUCGACCCUACGCUCAUACCAAUCCUUUGACUCAGAGAGAGCUUCCCAUAACUCACACUUUUGACAAGCUCACCCCCGCUGUUUCGAGAAUAAAAACAAUGGAAACACAUAGUGUGCAGGAGCAGCCAGAGGAGGAGAUUCUUGUACGAGCUGCCGAACAAGGCCAGCAUGCCCUGCUUUCUAUGACUGCAUUAUCACAUGUUAUUAAUAUAGCAGAGUCUGACUUUUCAGAGAUGGCCCACAGAGCCAAAGAGUCAUAUGUCCAAACACCUGCAGCUUCUGAACAAAUGAGCUAUUUAUCACUUUAAGGUAUUAAAUCAGUUCCUCUUCCUGUGAAUAUUUAUGGAGAGCACUCACAAGAUUGGGUAGAAAAACAUAAGAAGCACAUGUUGCCUAAAAGAACUUCAAUAAGCCAACCAGUCGUUGGACAUGUGACAGAUUUUGUACCUCAUGCAGAGAUCCCACCCACAGAGUUUGUUAAUAAAAUCAGUUGUAGCAGUAAUGGCUGUACAAAGUCUGAUGAAACUACUGAGGCAGUCGUGAUUGAUCCUACAAAGGAAAUCUUCAAAACUCGAUUCCCAGAAAAAAAUAAUUUCCGGGCCCAAAAUGCUAAUAAAACAAAGUCCGGAAGCAACUGGAGCUUUCAUCGCUCUGUACCUAGAAAAUCAAGUGGAAAAUCAAAAAAAGUGUUGCAUUUAUAGUCACCAGUAAAUGGGAACAGGACUACACCAGUGAUGACACAGUGUCAACAAAGGCCAAAAGUACAUCAGAUGAAACUGUUCAUUUGGAAAACAAAGACACACCUCAGUGGACUCGGUUUGUGACGAAAACAACACAAAGAUGCUUUCAGAAUACCUUUGGAGUUAUUGCAACAGAGGGCACACUGUCUGAGUCUGGAGCAGCUGCUGUGGAAACCACAAUAAAGUCCACUGAGAAGACGCUGCCUGUUGAAGGAAACACCAAAACACAAUUAGACAGAAGAGCAGGCAGAGCCAGGAUGCUGGCAGAACAAAAUGUCAGUAGGUCACCGCGUGCCCAUGCUAAGGACGAGACGGCAAGCCCAGAGUCUGGGAGCAGGCUGUUAGUGUCAGAGCCGCAGACUAAAUCAGAGCUCCCAAGGCUGAACCAAAGGAGAAGGACAUCACCUCAUCAGUAUGUCUCUGGUGUGACAGAAAUUUCAGAUGACAUCUGUGGCAGUGGAAACUACACCGCAGAAAUGAGGCUGAAGAUGGGAACAAGUGUGGAGCCUGGUGAUGUGGUGCCAACCCGAGGGAACCUCAGAGUGAUUAUCAAUCUGAAGACAAACAACAGUCAGAUAAACCUUGGCGUCACCGUCUGUUGCCUGUCACCAACACGUCAGCUGGACUUCAACAACUCUACCUGCUGCUUUUUUUUUAGACCAGGAGAGGAUCAUGCUGCUGCCCAGCACCUUGUCAACCAGUGCCAGUUUUACCAUCAGUCUCUUCCAAAUGAUUAAUUACUCAGUGGUGUACCUACACUGUGAUCUCAGUGUCUGUCUGAGGAACCACUCUGACUGUGAAAGGCAAUGCCUUCAGCAGCGGAGUGUGUUUCCUUCUGAAGGUGCAGACACUGUCACGGUCAAUCUUCGAAAUUGCAUAUCUUUUGGGCCGGUGUUGAAACAAGCAAAAAAUUCAACCUUCCCCCUGGAGAUAGAUCCAUCACAACUGGAUCUGGUUUUGGUCUUUGUCAGCCUGGUGGUUGGCUUCUCCCUCAUCUCUUUGUUGCUGCUGCUGGUGUGGCUAGCCUACCAUCGGCAGGCCAUCUGGCUUCUCCACUCUGCAGCUCCGUCUCAAGCCUGUUGCGGCUGCCUACGCCUGGGAGGCGACUUAUCUCACCGUGACCAAGGAGGAACCGCUGCCAAUUAUGUUGAUCAAGUCCCCCCCCCCAAAAUAGCUGCAAACAAUUACAUUAGUCAACAGACAGAGGGGCAGUCAAUCAUAUUAGGUGCAGAGCAGAAGCGGCCGGUCUCACCGCCCGGCGUAGGACAGAAUACACAAUGAGGUGCAAUCCAAUUCACACCUCCUCGCACAGGUGACACAGCUGUUGCAGUCAAAUUUCACACUUAACCAUGAAAAGUCUAUUAUCAUCUGCUGAAAGUAAACACCAGCCCUAAAUAGAAAAGCUGCUCUGAUCCCUUCUCUCACUGGGUGGAAAUCAAUAGGCCUGCCUAUAACACUUGGAUGAAUGGAUAACUUAGAAAUAAUAGUUUGAUAUGAUGUAUGCAUUUGUGGUUUAAAGUUGUUAUUGAGUUUCUUUGACAAAUCAUUAUGGGAAAAUGUCACUUUCAGCUUCGCUGUUACUGCAAUGCUUCAGUAGUGUUUGCUUUGCAACAUAAUACAUAAUGUUAUGUCACAAUAUGUAAUACAGUAAGUGAUGUGGA